UAAUCAAUUUGGUGCUUUCUUCAAUAGCACUAUACAGAGAAGAUUAGCAUGGUCCCUGUGCAAGGAUGACACCAAAUUCAUGAAGAGUUCCAUAUUUAA
RNAcentral lists this small nuclear RNA (99 nucleotides) under Jaculus jaculus (lesser Egyptian jerboa). Lineage: Eukaryota; Metazoa; Chordata; Mammalia; Rodentia; Dipodidae. The record is from RNAcentral.